GUCGGUGAUCGAAUAGGCACGGGGAAACACCCGAUCCCAUCCCGAACUCGGCCGUUAAGCCCGUGCUGCCGAUGAUACUGCCACACCAGGUGGGAAAGUAGGUGUCGCCGACU
Molecule: ribosomal RNA, 113 nt
Filed under: Planctomycetaceae bacterium
Lineage: Bacteria; Pseudomonadati; Planctomycetota; Planctomycetia; Planctomycetales; Planctomycetaceae
Source: RNAcentral